AGUUACCGGACACCCUGUAUAUGCAUAAAUAUAUUAUUUAUUUUCUCGCACAUCAAGCGAAAUAGAGAUUAAUCCUAUCUUUUUCUGCUUUUUCAACAUAACAAUAAUGAUAUUAAAUUCUGUGGACGUGGAUACAGUUAAUUAAUGUCGACGGCCUAAUUCGUAUCAUUCGAGUUCUUCUUUCUAGAGCAGAAAAAAGGGACGAAAGGAUUAUUCCGACUGGCUGAAACUAUUUUGCGAGAAUGCUACGAAAAAUAUCGAGCGGCUUGUUUCCGGGCACGUGCGUGAAACAAGCAAUGCGCAAUGAAUAGAAAGGAGGGGAAAAGUACAUGACGUGAAAAGCCGAACAUACAAUAGUCCAUAUAGACACGCAUUCUUGAAUUAAUUUCAAUAUUUAGAUCGAAAACUGUUGCUUAAUGUUCGACUUCGACGUUUCUUAUUGAACGCUUCGACGUAUAAUCAAAUCUGAGAGUAGAUUUUCAAGAGAAUGUAAUUCCGUUGAAAUUCCGCAGGAUCCAUUUUAUCGGAAGACUUUAACGAGAUUUUUGCUCCGCGCCUUCGUUUCCCCGUAAUUAAUGGGUCACCGUGCACGGAGCGUACAGAAAAUUUUACGCGAGCGUUCUACCGUGUGAAAGAAUCGACUUUUCUCGCGUAUUGUUUAAUUUAAAAUAUUAUUUCGCUGUCUAGUUGCGACCCGAGAUUACGCGGAUAAAACAUUUCAUCUGCAGUAAAUUCGAGUUAACGCGUUCGCGGUCGCGCACCGCGAAGCCGCAAUAAAUCCACGCGUCUAUCUGCAUCCGCGUUGCCAUAUGCUUUGCCAAAGUUUCGAAAUAUCGUUCCGCGUGCUUCGAAAGCGCUUCGAAACUGGCUUAUAAGUUUCUCGAGAAUGGCGCGCAAGGAAGGAAGGAGUGAAAGACGUAAAACGUGAGAUUCCCGAAUGCUUUGUGCGUAAAGACGUAAGUGAAUUCCAUCGUAUACUUUCCAUUAAAUUAUCUAAAUAUUUACUAGAUAUUUAUUACAAUUUUAUGGUAAUUAACGUCGAUGUUUAGAAUCUGUACAGGUAUCUCAUUAAUAAAUUGGUGGAAAGCAUCAUUGGUUUGGCAAAUUUCGGCUGAAGAGCGUAUCUCGCGUGUUUCGCGUGCAUCGCGAAUACAUAAUGUACAUUCCUAUGGCGCACGAUGGAGGAUACAAUUUGUAUCGGCGACUGAUUCUCGGCGGCGUAAUCGCAUCGGCAGCUCGUGCUCAAAUUAGCGGUGAUUUACGCUCCGAUACGAAUGGAUGCUGCAGACGGCGAUUGCGACGGUAUACCCGCAGACUGCCGGAACUAAUUAAAGUGCACGAAAGCGAGAUCGCGUGGAGCACACUUAACAGUCGAGUUCUGGACAUAGAACCUAAGCCCUCCGGUUAGUGCGAUUGCCCCCCCCCCCUUCCGUUAUCCUUGCACGGUUCUUUGCGCGUCUAUUAAUCCCGGAGCUUUACGUCUCCGCGAGAUGCAAGCAUGUGACUGUGAUUCAAAGAAGUGAUGUUAAAAGCUUGGCCAACCCCAAAAGGAGCAAGAAACUUCGGACGACACUCGGAUGUGUGACAAGACCACUCAACAAAGUUCGCGCCGCGCUCAAACGAAAUAUCUCUUAUAGUUUAUCCUCCGUUACCGAGUUACGGCAAUCGAAAGUUCAGUCCCCUCGGGUCGCGCCGGAUUAUAUCCCUUACAGAGAUGUCGACAGAAUACAUUCUACUAUUCUCAGUCGAAAUUCGCGGAGACCGCCGCCGUCAUCAACGAUGAGCGUCAUUCCGCAAGAUGACUGUCGCGGCACAAAUACGCGAUGUCAUCUGUAUUUAUGAAACGCUUUUCUAAUUGUACCUGCAAUGUAAAAAAACCUUGAGCGAAAGAAUAAAUAAAGAGAUGAGAAUUAAAAGAGUGUCAAGUAAUAAAAGAGUAUCAAAUAAAAAUUUGAGCGAAAUUUAAUUAUUAAAAACAUUAAAGGUAUAAAAGUUAUUAUAUGUAUAGUGGAAUCUAAUUUGAACGUAUAGUUCAUAUUUAAAUAGCUAAUAUCUAUAGCUAAUAUCUACAAUAAAUGAACUUUUUCAAAUUUUAUAGAUAUCAAGUGGUAGCCUGCAUUUCAAUAUCUCGCAUGCGUCGUGUUCGCGUUUUCCGCCUCUUGUAAAAGCGCUAUUCGCACAAUUCCGCAAUAGUCAUCGCUGUACCGCGACAGUAAAUCAACGGCGGUUUAUCGACAGCCACCGUCUAAACGAUGCAGAGUACAAGCACGGAAAUGAGAGACGGCCUGGAUGGCCCGGGGGCUUGUUUUCUAGUUACGGGCGCAGCAGACACAGCCGAUGCGGCCGUGACCGGCGGCGCGGUGCGGAAGAGCCGACUGACUGCGGCAUUUCCGCACCGUCGCCCGGCCAAGAUAACGAAAUGCCGAUAUCUAACCGCACGUAAAUAGCCCGAUAUUUAUACUCUCGCGACGCUCGUGCUCUCUCUCUCUCUCUCUCUCUUUUGCGCGCGCGCGCGAGUACGCUGAAGAUUCUGCAAAUUCCGUCGGCGAUGAACUCGCGCCGCGAGCUUCCGGCCGCGAGGAGUUUAUUCCUCGCGUCUUAACGUGAUUUAAGAAGAUUCUAUUUGCGAAGUAUAUACACGAGAGACGGAGUGUAUGCGGGAACUCUAUCCCGGAUUCUCGACGCUUCCUCCUCAAUUAUGGAUUCCAUGACAAACUGUGGCGGCCACGGCGGGUUUUUCCUCCCGUCUGUACGCGGCCGGAACGUGAUGAAAAAAAUACCCCCACCGUAGAAGAUUUAUCGUGUCGAUUCAUGUUGUGCGAACGCGUCGGCGUUAUCAGCGGCGAAACACUUUUCCCCUUUUCGUUGCCGCUCUUCCGGAUUAUGAGAGUAAAAAAAAUCACUGCAAAUACGGAUGUCUCACGUGUGCCGACAGUAUAAAUAACGGUUGGUUUGUUUGAAGCCGUUUUAUGUCAGCAGUUUUAUGUCGCUUGCGGUCACACGGCGUACGCUGCAGCUGCAUUGUCCAUUUCGCGUUGCAGGAGGAUCGUAGACGAUUUGGAUUCAUGAAUGCUUCGCAGCUGUAAUCCCGGCCGCGGUUCCGCUAUCUUUCACCAUUUAGCACCGGCGACUGCACGUGAUUAAACAUCAAUGAUCGAGAUAUCAGCCGGUUCGGAAUCGCCAGGACGUGAUUCGCCAUUUAUUCAUUCGAUCGAUCGCGCGCACACUAAUUGCUUCCGAAGGCGCAUUAAGUGUUAUCAAUUAAGAUUCAGGCCAAAGCGCGAUUGUCGCGGGCAAUUAAUCCCGUGUCGCUUGUGGAUCGCGGCGGGUGAGUCAUCGGCGGCGUCACCAUGACGGCGCGACGUUUCGGUAGCGUCGCGACGGCUCCCACAAAAAGCUUCCACCAUUCAACCGGGGAUAAUGGUCCAUCGGAACGAUCCGGAGUACCGAGAGUAUUUUUUGUUAUUGUUUGUCACCACGAGGGAGGAAAAUAUGUUGAGAUUGCGAGAAGCAGGAGAAACACGUGUUAUCGGUAUCGAAACAGAGUAACGUGAUAGUUCAGAGUUUAUAAUCUCAGUUAUUUUAUACGUUAUUUUAUACUUGUUUAAAUACCGUUUUUCUUGCAUCAUGGAAAACUAGGAAAAUCGCGGCAUUAUUUUCUCAUACAAGUUUAAAUUCGGUCAUAGUGCGGUCGAAGUGACGCGCAACAUUAACUCUGCUUUCGGAGAAGAUGAUGUUUAUGAUAGAACCGUCAGACGUUGGGAAGUUUCAUUCUGGUAACGUGGACCUUGAAAAUUUGGCACAUUGACGAUGAUAUUUGAAGAAUAUUGUUGAAAUAGAACUAAGUCUGACGGAAUAUUGCAGACGUGACAGGGAUACAUUACUCGACCGUAUCCAGACAUCUAAAAGCCUUAGAAAAAGUGAAGAAGCUAGAGAAAUGAGUUCCCAUAGAUCUCAGCGAGAAAAAUAAAGCGCAUCGUUUAGGAAUCAGCUAUUCUUUGCUUCCCGGAAUAAGAACGAAGGCAUAUUGCAAUAGAAUUGUAACCUGCGAUGAAAAAUGGAUACUAUAUGACAACCGUCGACGUUCGAAGUCCAAAUCUUCACACGCGCAAGGUAAUAAUGACUGUAUGGUGAUCAUCAAGGGGUGUAAUUCAUUUUUUAUUUUUGGAGCGAGGUGAAAUCAUUGAUGCCAAGAAAUACUGCCAAGAGAUUAAUAUUAUACUUGAAAAACUGCGCAUUCAGCAACUGGUAUUAAUAAAUAGGCUUUCUACGGCGUCAUCAUGACGUCUUAUUGCUGCACGCAUUACAGAUCACACAUUGCAAAACAGAUAAUAAAAAAUUACCAGAGUUAAAGUGCGAAGUUUUCCUCAUCUCUCUUCCUCUCCAGAUCUUUCAUUACUUUUUCAAACAUUUAGAUAAUUUUUUAGCUGUGAAAUUCUUUUAAAAGAGGACGAUAUGAAAAACGCAUUUAACGAAUUUUUAACUUCUCAUUCUAUUGAUUUUUAUAAAGAAAGGAUUACUACGCUUACAUUAUAUUGGGAGAAGUGUACUGAUGCUGAAGGAAACUUUUUGAUUUUGAUUAAAACAAUAUAUGUAUCAAAUUUAUUAUAUAACCAUUUAAAGUUAAAAAUUGAAACUGGCCAAUUUAUUUGCAACGACCUAAUAUCUUGUCAGUAUUUUAUUAUUAUUUUAGAUGAGUUAUUUGCAAAUCCUUUUCAGAUUAAAAACCUAUAUAGUAGUAGAAUCUUUGUGUACAUUAUAUGGGAAAUUAUUUGAACUCAC
RNAcentral lists this long non-coding RNA (4782 nucleotides) under Ooceraea biroi (clonal raider ant). Its description in RNAcentral is "uncharacterized LOC105276084, transcript variant X1". The record is from RNAcentral. Lineage: Eukaryota; Metazoa; Arthropoda; Insecta; Hymenoptera; Formicidae.